UAAAUCUAUACACGCAGACACACAAACUAGGGUUUCUCUCAUCUCUCAUUUGUUGGUCCGCCGCUCAUCCUCUCAUCCUGCUCUGGCGAUUGCUAUAUGGCGACUUCAUCAGGCCUCUCUCUCGGAUCUCGCCAGAUCUCUCACCAGAUCGAUGAAGACAAAGGCGAUCGGAGGAGACUAGGGUUCCAGCGAAGGUAAAGCCAUUAGAGGAUGAACCACAACGAUUCCGUCUGUCGUUGUUCUUCUUUUGAGUGUACGAAGCUUCCAUAAGAAGAACCCAUGGAUAAAUCUGAUGAACUUAUGGUGCGAUUUAAAAAGCCGCUGCCACUCGGUUUCUAUUCAGUUUGACUCUGAUUGUGCAUCAGAUCUACUUGGAUUUACACUGUUGAUUAGCGUGGUUGCGAUUAAAAGGCACAUACUUUGUCAAUCCAUUAAGAUUUUGACUUGCAUUGAAUUUUGAAAUCAAGCAAUAUCCACCGUAGGAAUAAGGGUGGACAAAAAAAGUUUCGAUGUGUACGCGACUCUUUUGCCACCUAGCCAUGGUGUCCAACUUUGUUAUAGAUGCUACUGACCCUAUGAAGGAUGAAAUGCGAGGAAGCCAAAAUAGCUGCUUUCGACCAGAGAAUUUGUAUAAAGCUAAGGAGAAGGUGCAAAUGAAAUGCUUUACUUUUCCUUAUCCCGGAAGAGUUGUUUGGGCGAUUGGCUUAACUGCAGACAUGGGGAUGUUGUUGACAUUGGGAAAUUGCUGGAGGUUCAUAAAUAUUACUCUGAAGAUGUUGAUGUGAAGAUGGAAAGGCCUGCUGAGGAGUCUGCUCUUGAAGUAAUUCAAGUUACUGGUGCCUAAUGAGGGUUUUUAUUUGAUUUCUAUCUUUGACUUUCAUUAAUUUUAUGCUCUUCUGCGCAUAAAAGUGACUUUCUUUUCCAAAAAAGUGACCAAAUUUCUGUUCCAGUUAGUGAUUUUUUUUUCCAAAAAAAGUGACCAAAUUUCUGUUUAUGAGAUUGUCUUUUGUAAUGUGAAUUGGUAAAAUUUGUUUUGUGGGUUCAUUUAAUUGUUUAGUGAAUAAUGUGGACUAGACAACUAACUGCGGUUUUAGAUGAUAUUCUUAAUAACUUAACGUGUGUUUCGUGACAGGUAACACACUCUGUGGUGCGUACGCGCCAGGUGCUUUUGGUCAAUCAACCGCCUCCAGCUGUAGGGUUGUGAGGCUACCAUUAUUACCUGGUUCAUACAUACCCACCAGAUGCUUAUCUAUACCAUUAUUAGUUGUUAUUAGGUUAAUAGGUUUCUAUUAGAGUUGAUUUGGUGUAUUUUGAUUGAUUGAGAUCAGAUGAUGGAAUAUAUAGUUUUCAUGAAAUUUUUGGUGAAUUUGAAACUGAACAUAUGAAGAAUUGUUUGUUGUGAUCCGAAUAUUUCAGUUUUAUAUGUUUUUUUGGAUUUUGUGUUUGUGGUUGUUGCUUAAAGUGUCCUUUUCUUUUAUAUGCAUUUAAACAACUUAUCUGUUUAUCGUGUGGAUGAAGAAUCGUGCUUUAUUUGCUGAUUUUGGGUGAAAUAAGUUGUUUUUAAUAAGUAGUUUGAGAUUUACGAAUUAGCAUUCAUGUUUCUGCAGUCAGAACACUGUUGUGGCAGACCUAAAAGAACGCUUGCUACCACCAAAACCCGCCUCAGCUACGAACCACAGAGAGACAUCUUAUAGGCCAUCUGCAUCUGGCCGCCAACCGUUUCAAGGGGUUGAUGUUUUAGGGCUCAAAAAACGUGGUCAAGGUCUUCGUUCAUGGAUUCGUGUUGACGCUGCAACUGGUGAUUCCCAAAUUAUUGAGGUCGAUAAAUUCACGAUAAUGCGUCGUUGUGAUCUUCCUGCACGAGAUCUUCGCCUGCUUGAUCCGUUAUUUGUUUAUCUGUCAACAAUAUUGGGAAGAGAGAAGUUUAUUGUUGUAAAUUUGGAGCAAAUUCGGUGCAUUAUAACAGCCGAUGAAGUGUUACUUUUGAAUUCUCUUGAUAGUUAUGUAUUGCAGUAUGUGGUGGGUUGCAACGGCAAUUAAAGGCGGCCGGGGGGUGGUGAGGUUUGGCGGUCAGAAGGGGGUGAGUUGAAAACGUCCCCUGAUUACUUGCCGUUUGAGUUUAGGGCUCUUGAAGUUGCACUUGAGGCCGCUUGUACAUUUUUGGAUACACAGCCAUGGAAAAUACAAGGUUGUCUUAUGAGUUUAAAUUUGUUUCAUUGGAUUGUUUGGGACUGUGUGGUGCUUAUUGGAGAGGCCAAUGUGGAUGUUCUUGAUACAGAUGGGGACCCACCACUUGUCUUUGCGCUUGCAGCUGGAUCCCCCGAAUGUGUUCGGGCUCUUCUUAGUAGAUAUGAUAAUAUCAGAUCUCGGUUAAGGGAUGGGUUUGGCCCAUCCGUUGCUCAUGUCUGCGCGUAUCAUGGCCAACCUGAUUGUAUGCGUGAUUGCUAUUGGCUGGUGCUGAUCCAAAUGCAGUUGAUGAUGAAGGUGAAUCUAUACUGCAUAGAGCCGUGACAAAAAAGUACAGAGUGUGCUCAUGUUAUAUUGGAACAUGCGGGCUGCAAAUCUAUGGGAAUUUCAAACUCAAAGAAUCUAACUAGGUCAGGUGGCGGUACCGGCCCAUUUUUUAAUAAAUUGGUGGAUUCAGCUGAUGUGCUAUACAACUUUGGGACCAGUCAUGAAACCUUUUCCCCUUUAUGCCUGCAAUUGUUCAUUGGAACUUCUGGCCUUGGGAGUUUUGCAAAGGUUUAGUCAUUGUAGGUGGCAAAGGGGUGGGUUGGACAAGCACAAGAUGAGUCACAGGGUUGAUUUGCAGCUUAAUUUCUGCCAUAACUGCUAAAGUUAGUGAGAUUUUGGUCCAUCUUCAAACAUGUAGACAUGUUGCAUAUCUUCACUUAAUUUUUUUGGUUUUGGUAGAAAAGCUAAGCAAAGUCUAGAACAAUUGUUAUCCAACUGGCCCGAGUUGUAUUGUAUUGGUUUUGGCAAUUUUGGCAAUUGCCUACAUAAUGUAUUGAUUUUAUGUAUUUUAUCUUAAUAAUUGCCAACGCCCAACAUAAUGUAUUGAUUUUUUUUUUUU
Molecule: long non-coding RNA, 3073 nt
Organism: Helianthus annuus (common sunflower)
Lineage: Eukaryota; Viridiplantae; Streptophyta; Magnoliopsida; Asterales; Asteraceae
Exons: 13
Source: RefSeq, a predicted model, not a curated record